UUGCCCUAGUAACGGCGAGUGAAGCGGCAACAGCUCAAAUUUGAAAUCUGGCCUCCUUUGGGGGUCCGAGUUGUAAUUUGCAGAGGGUGCUUUGGCGUCGGCAGCGGUCUAAGUUCCUUGGAACAGGACAUCACAGAGGGUGAGAAUCCCGUACGUGGUCGCCUGCCUUCGCCGUGUAAAGCCCCUUCGACGAGUCGAGUUGUUUGGGAAUGCAGCUCUAAAUGGGAGGUAAAUUUCUUCUAAAGCUAAAUACCGGCCAGAGACCGAUAGCGCACAAGUAGAGUGAUCGAAAGAUGAAAAGCACUUUGGAAAGAGAGUCAAACAGCACGUGAAAUUGUUGAAAGGGAAGCGCUUGCAGCCAGACUUGCUCGUAGUUGCUCAUCCGGGUCCGCCCGGAGCACUCUUCUGCGAGCAGGCCAGCAUCAGUUUGGGCGACCGGAUAAAGGCCUCUGUCAUGUAUCUUCCUUCGGGAUGACCUUAUAGGGGAGGCGUAAUGCGGCCAGCCCGGACUGAGGUCCGCGCUUCUGCUAGGAUGCUGGCGUAAUGGCUGUAAGCGGCCCGUCUUGAAACACGGACCAAGGAGUCUAACAUCUAUGCGAGUGUUUGGGUGUCAAGCCCGGGCGCGUAAUGAAAGUGAACGGAGGUGGGAACCCUCUCCGGGGGGUGCACCAUCGACCGAUCCUGAUGUCUUCGGAUGGAUUUGAGUAAGAGCAUAGCUGUUGGGACCCGAAAGAUGGUGAACUAUGCUUGAAUAGGGUGAAGCCAGAGGAAACUCUGGUGGAGGCUCGCAGCGGUUCUGACGUGCAAAUCGAUCGUCAAAUUUGGGCAUAGGGGCGAAAGACUAAUCGAACUAUC
RNAcentral lists this ribosomal RNA (855 nucleotides) under Keissleriella rosarum. RNAcentral's name for it is "eukaryotic LSU rRNA". It matches the Rfam family "Eukaryotic large subunit ribosomal RNA", at positions 75 to 944 of the family's 3401-position model. The record is from RNAcentral. Lineage: Eukaryota; Fungi; Ascomycota; Dothideomycetes; Pleosporales; Lentitheciaceae.